UUCACGGAGAGUUUGAUCCUGGCUCAGGACGAACGCUGGCGGCGUGCUUAACACAUGCAAGUCGAACGAUGAACCACUUCGGUGGGGAUUAGUGGCGAACGGGUGAGUAACACGUGGGCAAUCUGCCCUGCACUCUGGGACAAGCCCUGGAAACGGGGUCUAAUACCGGAUACUGAUCAUCUUGGGCAUCUUGGAUGAUCGAAAGCUCCGGCGGUGCAGGAUGAGCCCGCGGCCUAUCAGCUUGUUGGUGAGGUAAUGGCUCACCAAGGCGACGACGGGUAGCCGGCCUGAGAGGGCGACCGGCCACACUGGGACUGAGACACGGCCCAGACUCCUACGGGAGGCAGCAGUGGGGAAUAUUGCACAAUGGGCGAAAGCCUGAUGCAGCGACGCCGCGUGAGGGAUGACGGCCUUCGGGUUGUAAACCUCUUUCAGCAGGGAAGAAGCGAAAGUGACGGUACCUGCAGAAGAAGCGCCGGCUAACUACGUGCCAGCAGCCGCGGUAAUACGUAGGGCGCGAGCGUUGUCCGGAAUUAUUGGGCGUAAAGAGCUCGUAGGCGGCUUGUCGCGUCGGUUGUGAAAGCCCGGGGCUUAACCCCGGGUCUGCAGUCGAUACGGGCAGGCUAGAGUUCGGUAGGGGAGAUCGGAAUUCCUGGUGUAGCGGUGAAAUGCGCAGAUAUCAGGAGGAACACCGG
This 695-nucleotide ribosomal RNA is filed under the name Streptomyces althioticus subsp. attaecolombicae. RNAcentral describes it as "bacterial SSU rRNA". It matches the Rfam family "Bacterial small subunit ribosomal RNA", at positions 1 to 712 of the family's 1533-position model. The record is from RNAcentral. Lineage: Bacteria; Bacillati; Actinomycetota; Actinomycetes; Kitasatosporales; Streptomycetaceae.